GUGUCAGCCGCCGCGGUAAGACAGAGGGUGCGAACGUUGCUCGGAAUUACUGGGCGUAAAGCGCGUGUAGGCGGGUGAUCAAGUCAGGUGUGAAAUCCCCAGGCUCAACCUGGGAACUGCACUUGAAACUGGUUGCCUUGAGUGCUGGAGAGGGAAGCGGAAUUCCUGGUGUAGAGGUGAAAUUCGUAGAUAUCAGGAGGAACACCGGUGGCGAAGGCGGCUUCCUGGACAGUUACUGACGCUGAGACGCGAAAGCGUGGGGAGCAAACAGGAUUAGAUACCCCUGUAGUCC
Molecule: ribosomal RNA, 292 nt
Filed under: uncultured bacterium
Lineage: Bacteria
Description: partial 16S ribosomal RNA
Rfam family: Bacterial small subunit ribosomal RNA
Source: RNAcentral